Non-coding RNA from Orbilia ellipsospora, 69 nucleotides. The record is from the annotation of a GenBank genome assembly. NCBI's taxonomy places the organism in Eukaryota, Fungi, Ascomycota, Orbiliomycetes, Orbiliales, Orbiliaceae.
GCGGAUUGGUGCAUAGGUAGCAUAACUGGCUCAUGCCCGGUAGAAAUAGGUUCGAAUCCUAUGUCCGCA